Spinacia oleracea (spinach) is the source of this 1043-nucleotide long non-coding RNA. RefSeq lists it as uncharacterized. The record is from RefSeq and is a predicted model, not a curated record. NCBI's taxonomy places the organism in Eukaryota, Viridiplantae, Streptophyta, Magnoliopsida, Caryophyllales, Amaranthaceae. The transcript has 2 exons.
CCCCCUCCCCCUCCCCCGCCUUUCUCUCUUCUCUUUUUUCUAUUUACCCUAAAAAUUAAAAUCAGCAUCUCAAAACCCUCAAAUUCUACAUGGCAGCCUUGAUGUUUUAUUUCUCUCUCUUCUCUAUAAGACCACUCUUUCUUCACCCCUUUUUAUUAACAGAGUAUGCUAAUUUCGCUCAGGAAAUAUGGAAUUAGUGCAAGAAUUGUUAAGCUUUUUAACUAAUAGUGUUGUAAAUUCUGUUUAUCCAGCAAAAAUUGAUCGCCCACUUUAGAUUCAUCAGUGGUAGGCUCAAUCAACUCCCCGUUUCUGGCAUGUUAUAGUUAGAAACGUCUCUCGACGACGGGGAAUUUUGAGUAGAUGUCGGCAUUUCCUAAAGAAGAUCUUCGUAAUGACAAUUUUAUAGGCUCAUUGCGACCGUCUUGAGGGACUCGGCGAAGAUCAGCCAACCUGAACUAUGACCGCCCUCGCCAUCCCGCCACCAACUGACACGCUAGCCUCCCAUCAACUAGGGCUAGAUAAAUCGAGCGUUCCAUCCUGGCCCGGGUCCCAAGAAGGAAGAGUCAAUUCUGGUGGUCUCGUAAGUCGUUUCUAACAUACUCAUGGUGGAAGGGAAAGAUCUUGUUUCCAUAACCAGCGAUACGAUGCUGAACGAAGAACCUUUCCAGAGUGCUGAGAUGGGGCUUGAUAUGUGUGAUCAAGGACAAUUACCAGUUUUCAUGGUGGAGAAAAGGGAUGAAGAAAUAAAGUUGGAAAAGGAACCCUUAUCUGCUGAGAAUGCCUAUUCGGAGGCAAUUGAAUCAAACACUGAUAGAAAGAUUGUGGGUAAUGAUGAUGGUGGUAUGAGAGUUGAUGUUGAGUCUGCCAUUUCUGAUGAGCGAAAAUUGCUAGAAGACAAACGAUUUUUUCUAGUUCCUAUAGUACUUCAUCCUUGUUGCUAAUGAAUUUUAUUGUAAAUUAAAUCAAGAUUGAUAUGUUUAUUUGUUCAUUAUUUGUAUCUUAAUUUCUGAAUAAUAUACUAGAGUAACUUUUUCUAACUGAAA